CAUUAUGGUAGGGCGAAAGGGGGACGCUUUAUGCGUGCCAGCUGCUAGAUGAUUGGUCUGUCAACCCUCUUUCGUUUUACCACCAUC
RNAcentral lists this non-coding RNA (87 nucleotides) under Acinetobacter sp. yr461. The record is from RNAcentral. Lineage: Bacteria; Pseudomonadati; Pseudomonadota; Gammaproteobacteria; Moraxellales; Moraxellaceae.